AUUGCUUCUCAGUCUUGGCUAAGAUCAAGUGUAGUAUUUCUUCUUAUCAGUUUGAUAUCUGAUAUGCCCUCUAUCCAAUGACAAUUUAUUAAAUGGAUUUUGGGAGCAGGGAGUUGGAAUAGGAGCUUGUUCCAUCCACCCUGCACGUCGGCCUGGUAUGGCCAUACUUCCAGGGACGGCGCCCUCCAC
RNAcentral lists this small nuclear RNA (189 nucleotides) under Ochotona princeps (American pika). RNAcentral describes it as "U2 spliceosomal RNA (ENSOPRG00000017756.1)". It matches the Rfam family "U2 spliceosomal RNA". Rfam says of the family: U2 is a small nuclear RNA (snRNA) component of the spliceosome (involved in pre-mRNA splicing). Complementary binding between U2 snRNA (in an area lying towards the 5' end but 3' to hairpin I) and the branchpoint sequence (BPS) of the intron results the bulging out of an unpaired adenosine, on the BPS, which initiates a nucleophilic attack at the intronic 5' splice site, thus starting the first of two transesterification reactions that mediate splicing. The record is from RNAcentral. Lineage: Eukaryota; Metazoa; Chordata; Mammalia; Lagomorpha; Ochotonidae.